This 227-nucleotide ribosomal RNA is filed under the name uncultured bacterium. Its description in RNAcentral is "partial 16S ribosomal RNA". It matches the Rfam family "Bacterial small subunit ribosomal RNA", at positions 524 to 748 of the family's 1533-position model. The record is from RNAcentral.
UACGUAGGGUGCGAGCGUUGUCCGGAAUUAUUGGGCGUAAAGAGCUCGUAGGCGGUGUGUCACGUCGGCCGUGAAAUCCUGGAGCUCAACUCCAGAACUGCCUUCGAUACUGGCGAUCUUGAGUCCGGAAGAGGUGAGUGGAACUCCUAGUGUAGAGGUGGAAUUCGUAGAUAUCAGGAGGAACACCGGUGGCGAAGGGCGGGGACUCUGGGCCGAUACUGACGCUG